Molecule: long non-coding RNA, 717 nt
Organism: Ctenocephalides felis (cat flea)
Lineage: Eukaryota; Metazoa; Arthropoda; Insecta; Siphonaptera; Pulicidae
Exons: 4
Source: RefSeq, a predicted model, not a curated record
GAUAGGCUAGAUAGUGUACUUAUAUUACAAGUUUGACUUUAAACAAAGAAAGAAUUCUACUGAGCUCGAUCCUGAAAAGUAAAGAAAACUGGUCUGGGCUCAUUCUGCAAAACGAGUACCUUCUACACGAAGGACUGAAAAUGAAAAUAGAAGGACCGAAAGGAUUGGGAAGAAGAAGAAUGCAGCUGUGAUAGAAAAAAAAAAUAGAAAAUAGAAAAUACAGGGAACUGAAAGUCAAAGCACGGGCACAAGGCUUUAGUUGAGGAUUUGUGCACAUAUUUGGAUUACUCAAGCCUCGAAUAGAUCUAUUUACACUCGACAACAUAAUUUUGCCAUAAGGAUGAUGAAGGGUACACACUGCAAAUGCAAAUAAAUCAUAUUCUAAUAAUUAAAGAUAAUUUACUUAAAUCAGGAGAAAUGUCAUAAGAGACUUUAGUUGAGGAUUUGUGCAGAUAUUUGGAUUACUCGAGCCUCGAAUAGAUCUAUUCACUCUCGACAAUAUAACUUUGCCAUAAGAAUGAUGAAGGGUACACACUGCAAAUGCAAAUAAAUCAUAUUCUAAUAUUUAAAGAUAAUUUAAACCUAACUUAAAUCAGGAGAAAUAUCAUAAGGGGCUUUAGUUGAGGAUUUGUGCAGAUAUUUGGAUUACUCGAGCCUUGAAUAGAUCUAUUUACACUCAACAAUAUAACUUUGCCAUAAGGAUGAUGAAGGGUACAC